RNAcentral lists this ribosomal RNA (253 nucleotides) under uncultured bacterium. RNAcentral's name for it is "partial 16S ribosomal RNA". It matches the Rfam family "Bacterial small subunit ribosomal RNA", at positions 524 to 776 of the family's 1533-position model. The record is from RNAcentral.
UACGUAGGGUGCAAGCGUUAACCGGAAUUACUGGGCGUAAAGCGUGCGCAGGCGGUUUCGUAAGUCUGUCGUGAAAUCCCCGGGCUUAACCUGGGAAUGGCGAUGGAGACUGCGAGGCUAGAGUUUGGCAGAGGGGGGUAGAAUUCCACGUGUAGCAGUGAAAUGCGUAGAGAUGUGGAGGAACACCGAUGGCGAAGGCAGCCCCCUGGGUCAAAACUGACGCUCAUGCACGAAAGCGUGGGGAGCAAACAGG